This 306-nucleotide signal recognition particle RNA is filed under the name Piliocolobus tephrosceles (Ugandan red Colobus). Its description in RNAcentral is "Metazoan signal recognition particle RNA (ENSPTEG00000006706.1)". It matches the Rfam family "Metazoan signal recognition particle RNA". From Rfam's summary of the family: The signal recognition particle (SRP) is a universally conserved ribonucleoprotein. It is involved in the co-translational targeting of proteins to membranes. Lineage: Eukaryota; Metazoa; Chordata; Mammalia; Primates; Cercopithecidae. The record is from RNAcentral.
GGCAGACUCUGUGACCAUGCCUGCAGUCCCAACUACUUGGGAGUCUGAGGCAGGAGGGCUCACUUGAGUCCAGCAGUUCUGGGCUGUGUGCUACGCUGAUUGGGUGUUCACACUAACUUCACACUAACUUUGUGAUCAAUAUGGUGACCUCUCAGGACCGGGGACCACCAGAUUGCCUAAUGAGGGGUGAAUCUACCCAUGCUGGAAACACAGCAGGUCAAAACUCCUGUGCUGAUCAGUAGUGGGAUCGCGACUAUGAAUAGCCACUGCACUCCAGCCUGGGCAACAUAGCAAGAUCCCAUCUCU